UACGUAGGAGACGAGCGUUGUCCGGAAUUACUGGGCGUAAAGCGCGUGUAGGCGGAUGAGCAAGUCUGCUGUGAAAGCUCCUGGCUUAACCGGGAGUGGUCGGUGGAAACUGCUCGUCUGGAGGACGGUAGAGGUAGGUAGAAUUCCCGGUGUAGUGGUGAAAUGCGUAGAGAUCGGGAGGAAUACCUGUGGCGAAGGCGGCCUACUGGACCGGACCUGACGCUGAGACGCGAAGGCGUGGGGAGCGAACGGG
This 253-nucleotide ribosomal RNA is filed under the name uncultured bacterium. Its description in RNAcentral is "partial 16S ribosomal RNA". It matches the Rfam family "Bacterial small subunit ribosomal RNA", at positions 524 to 776 of the family's 1533-position model. The record is from RNAcentral.